RNAcentral lists this long non-coding RNA (432 nucleotides) under Mytilus galloprovincialis (Mediterranean mussel). Lineage: Eukaryota; Metazoa; Mollusca; Bivalvia; Mytilida; Mytilidae. The record is from RNAcentral.
CACCAAUGGGUCUUCAAUGUAGAGAGAAACUCCCGCACCCGUAGGCGUCCUUCAGCUGGCCCCUUAAAAAAUAUGUAUACUAGAUCACACAAGACUAACAAAGGCCAGAGGCUCCUGACUUGGGACAGGCGCAAAAUUGCGGCGGGGAUAAACAUGUUUAUGAGAUAUCAACCCUCCCCCUAUUCCUCUAGCCAAUGAAGGAAAGUAAAUACGCUUGAUGAACGCUACAAUCCCAGGAAAUUUGUAUGCAGCAUAAAAAAACAUACAACAUACGCCAACAUACGUUUCUAGUACGCCCAAUACACGCUUAAAGCUCGUUUUGCACACGUUACAAAUAUGAUUGACAGGUUAAAUGCAUCCAAAAUUACUAGCGUAUUGGCAGCGUAAAUGAUUUUGAACACGCCAGUGCUAUACGCUGAUGUGUGACGCCGG